CGGCCGGGCCGCACGGCGCAUGUAGUAGGGGCUGGGCGGCCGCUGAGGGUGAAUGAAGCGAGCGGGCGGCGGAGGAGGCGGCGCUGGGACGGGGAUGUGCCCGGCGGCCGCCCCGCGCCGCUGCUCCCGGGGCCCAGGCCGCCUGCGGACAACGCCCGGUACCGCCGCCGGGGGAGCGCGGGCGGGAGGGCCGCGGGGCACCGCCGCUCGGCCCCGGCGCUGACCGGAGCUCGGGGUCGGCUCGGUGUUGUUCGAUGCCCCCCCACCCCGGUAGGGCCGCGGGCGCCGCGAUCCGCGAGCGCGAUUCCCGGGGGUACCGAAGUCUGAAUUAAACGCGCUGGGAAACGUCAGCGCCCGCUGUAAUAGCGAUAGCGAUAAUAACGCGACGGAGCGGGGAGCGCGUUCCGCGCGGCGGCAGAGGAGGAAUUGCCGAGGAGCACUAACGGAGGAGCAAACAAGUCGGAAGCCGUUAUAUAACGCGCCGUGCGGCGCGGGGAGCGGCGGCUAUUUGGGCGCUGUUGACCGCACGCUGCGCGGCGGGCGCUCCGCGGGCAGCGCCGGGCCGAGCCGAGCCGGGCGGGGGGACGCCCCGCGCCGUGCCGUGCCGGGAGCCCCUCCGUGCGCGGGGCAGAGCGCUGCGGGGCUGCGCGUCCGUGCGGCGGCGCGCUGAGGGCUUUUAAUUUCGGUUUCGAGCCCUUCCGCCGCGGGAUCGCCGCGCCGCGCCUCCGGCCCUUCCCCCGCCUUGGAAGGUGCCGUGGGCCGGCGGCGCGGCCCCGGGUGCGGGGCCCUUCCCGCAGCCCCUCGUCGCCGGAGCCCGCCCGGCCCCGCUCCGCCGCGCGAUGAGAGCGCGCUGCCAUGGCAACAGACGGCCCCGGCCGCUCAGGUGUGCGCGCGCCGUGCGCCCGGCCGCCCCCGUGCCGUGUGCGGCGCCGUGUGCGGGGCGCGGGAGGAGGGGGCGGCGGCGGCCCCGCGCCGAGGCUCCGUCAGGGUGCCGCGGGCUCACGAAAACUUUGCCGCUGCUCCCCUCUCCCUGCCCGGCCGCUGUAGGCCUCGGGGCCGUCCGGCGCCGCGCUGUGACAUCGCCGGUGGGAAUGCCCGGUGUGUUGAGGGGCGGCUGGCUCCCUUCUCCCUUGGUUCAAAAACCCGAGGGGCGUGUAAUAUAAACGUUCUCUUCUCGGCAAACGACUCGUCGCUGAUACUCGGAUUGAUCUGAUUUUGCGUUUGUGCUCGUUAAAAUGCAGCGGAGCGACGGAACGGCAGGGCGGGAAACUUUCCGCCCCAGACGGCGUAGCGCCGUGCAGGAGCAGGCAGUGCAGCUCCGCGCUGCCCUCCGGGAGCGCUCGAGCGAGGAGCGCAUGCCGGCCUUCCGCCCGGUGGCCGCACACGGGCGCAGGCGUCGCUUUGUACGGGCACCGAAUCUGGCGCUCAGUCCUAACGCCGUGGGCCUGGAGCGGCUCCAGGGGCUGCCCGCGAGCCGCGCACACGGUGCGUAUCUGGGGUAGCUCCGCUUGUUGGACUCCGGCCAGGCGCAGAGCGGAGUAGCGGAGCUCAGGCGCUGAUCCCGCUGCCCGCGGCCGUCGUUUUCCCGGUAUCUUUCUACGGCAGAAAGCACCGUGGGAUUUUUGCCCCCUGCAGGAGCCGGGUUAGCCACGUGCGGGAGCGGUGAACUACUCCCGUUGCUAACCGCACGUGCAUCCGCGCUGCUACAAGGCGCAGCCCGGAGCGUUUCACGUCUCGGUGGUGAGAAGUUGCCGGCACCGUGCAGCACCGGAGCUCCCAGGCAGCCCGUAGGCCACGCUGACCGGCUCUCUGUGCCCGGGCUGCCUGCCUUCGGGGGGAACGUCCUCCCUCUGCGUGCCGAGGGGGCUGGAAGGAGGGCAGCCCGUGAAGAGGAGCGGUAGCAGAAGGUGAGCGCUCGCAGCACGGCUGCUCUCGAGCUGCCGCUGCGUGCCCGGUGCUGCUGGUGACGUGCUCCACGGAGAGGCAGUUCACCCGUGUGACUGAGAGCACUGGAAAACAGUUACUUAGUAAAGGCUGCCUCUGCAUAGUUAAGAGACUUCCUGCAAGUACACGGCGCAGCUCUUCUCCCUGGCCUGGUCUGAUUCACUUAGGAGAGGCCGAAGGAACCGGUCUUGUUUUAAGAGACAUUUACACAAGGCCUGGAAUUUCACUUAACAAAAAUUUUUAUGUAAUAGAUCCAGUGGCCUAGUUUCACCUUCAUUAAGAAAAUAGGCGCUAAAUGUGCUCACCUGGAAAGCAACUGCCGAUUUCAACAUUAGGAUGUGAAAGCAGUGGUCUCGGUGCCGUGGCUGGCAGAGCAAAACGAAGGCCCGGUUCCCCCCCGUGCUGAAGUUCAGCAGCACGUCUGGGGACGCAGCAGCGAGGGCUGUCAUUGCUCGUGCAGCGCUGGCUUUUGUUGUGGUGUGCUAAUUGAGGGGAAACGCGAUGAAGAACUGCGGCAGGGCUUAAAGGAAACGCGUGUCAGAAUUGCGGAGGGGCUGCAGCGCUGGCUGGGUGAAGGGCUGUGUGGCAGCUGUAGGGCUGCCUGGGGGCGCACCGGGUUGGGGCGGCCGCUGCACAGGUACGGUCUGGGCGCCCUGCGCAGCUCGGGUGGCAGAUGGAGCUGUAGGUCUCCUUGGAGGUACCCGUACCGACUCUGCUCUAACAAAUACCGACACAAUUAGCUGAAGAGGCAGCAGUCUGACUGGCUUGGCACAGGUAAACGCUGCAGCUUGCUGAAACGACGUGCUGUAUUCCAGUGAGUACUCCAUAGGAAGUUGUAUGCUUUGCUCAGCCUGAGCUUGCGAGCUGAAAAUCCUGAUCUCAUUCGGUUUUACUCAGGCAGAGGCACAGCGAUUUGGGAUCUGAUGUCAUACGCGCAUCUCGUUCGGCGGUUUGCAUUUUUCUAUGAGCUGAAGUUUUUCACACGGUUCUGGCUUAGCUGAUAGAUGAUGGAUGCUUUUACAUGUAAGAAACUUCGCAGUCUCCCGACCUCUGUAGAAAGGCAGAAACUGGAUCUGUGAGUGCAAUUCCUUUUUGAUCCCCCUGCGAACACUGAGAGGGUAAUGCUGGAUGCUUUCUGUUUUUCCCCUAAAAGCUGUAGUCUGAGAUGGCUCUGAAACACAUGCAAAUCUGUGUGCGUGUAUUGGUCCCAGCCUGCAAAGUUGCUUCAGCACACGUCCCAGCGAGGGUUUUGCUGAAUGAGGAUUGAUUAAAGAACCUAUCUGGAGUUAAGUAUGUGUGUAAAUCCUUCCGUAAAUAGGGACGAGUCAGCGUGCUCAUAAACUGAAACAACAAAAGUGCUUCUCAGUGAGGGAGAAACGGUCCCACUAAGUCCUUUUAUUGUCCCAAGAGUGAUAAAAAUAUUUGGUGAGAUUCCAAGUGGGGAAAAAAAAAAAAAAGAAAAAACGUAUUUAGUUGGAUAUGUGAUGUCAGCAGAAUGUCAGUGCCGUUGCGCUCAGUACUUCUGCUGAAGAAGAAUUCAGAAAUAGAAAAAAGAAGAAUGAUGCUGGUAGCAUUGGCCGUUGUUUGCAUUGUUUGAGCGUUUGCAGCACUGUGCACUGGCUCUGAUGUGCUGCGGUUAAGGACGAGGUAACACCACGUUCCCCUGGCUGACUGCAUUCACCCACUGGCAGCGGUUGCAGCAGUAUUCUGUGAGUGGUGCCCCUCCUCAGAUGACACACGUUCUGCUGGCCCUGAAGUCAGCUCGACUCGCGUGUGGUUCUUCACCUCGUUAAGGUCACAUUUAGGGAAGGAGCGCUCUGUUGGAAUAAGUGGGCUACGUUCUCUGCUGUAUGCGUGCGGUCUGCAAGACUGAAUCUAUAGUUUAUUUGUGCUUGAGUAAUAGCGAAGCAGUCGCUCAGGCUUCAUUAGGGUGUCUUAAGGGUGCUGUCAUUUGAGUCUUACCUGUGUUUUUGCUUUGUUUUAUUUCGGUUCCCACCUCCUCAACUUUGGGAUCGACAGUCACGCCGCAGGCCGAGCCAGACGGGCGAGCAAUACAAGCUGUGAAUUUAUUGUUGACACCUGCAGGACAGUGACCACCUUCGCCGUCGUCUUCGCCAUACAGAGAUGCGCUGUCAGUGAGAUCCUGGAGCCCAGGAAAGAGUUUUAAUGCAAAGCAUCAGAAAAAAAAAACCGCUGCAGCAUCUCAUGUGAGAGAGGGGAGAGAAGAAAGGAGACUCGCGCAGUAACAUCUCAAAACACUCAAAUGGUUUGAGGGAAAAAUGGCUGUGUGAAAGACAAGAAGCACGGGUGAACUGGACAGCAUUGUGGUGUGGCAGUUAAUGUGCUCCAUCCUAAAGGCGUCAUCUUCCUGGUCGGCAGUAAGAAAAUAGUUCUUGUGAUGAUGAUUUGAGUAUCUCUAAAAGAGGCUGGCAAACAGCUGCUGUUGCAUGUCUCAAACUUAGCUUUAGCAUUGCGGGACUGUGAGGAGGUUCUGAAUACCUGUAGUGCUGUUUGUAGCUGAAGCAAAGCUGAGGCUCUGCAGCUUUGUCCGGGGACUCUGUAACUGUUUGCAGUCUAUAGAGGAAACACAAGUUAGAAGUAAGUAUCUUUCAAUUGAACUGUGUUUCCUUCUCUGUUAAGCUCACUGCUCAGACUUCUAUUUCUGGUCUCUAGUUCUGCAAAUACGUAAAACCUGGACAAAGUGUCUGGCUCCUUAGCUGAGUUUUUUUCUUGACCCGUGUAGAAACGAAACUUUAUAGAGCUACUUCUUAUGAAGGAUGAACUAGGACUGCUAAUUCGUAUGCUUUACAUGCCUGUCAGCAGAGGGGCUGAGCUGUGACUUGAUUGUAGCUGAUGGGACUGUGCCUUGUGCUGACAGCCCAUGGGUGGAGGGUGGGGAAGAGCACUGAGUAAACUUGUGUGCAUGUUGUCUUCUGCUUGGGUAACGUACAGUGGAGCGGCUGCUCACCGUCUUGGGAGGCAAAUCGUAGUGGUUGUAACAGCACUGCUGUGUGUUGUCUGAUGCUUGGGAGCCUCUUGCUAGCCUCUUGUUAAAAACCAUUGGUAGAGGGUUGGAGACAGCCAGGUAAGACAGCAGUUAACACUGAAGAGCUGGAACGGGAAGUUUUGCGAGACUGCUAGAACUGUUUUCUCCUGCCACAGGACUUGGCAGCUGGAGCCCAUGUGGGAGCCCAUUGCUGCUGACCAGGAGCUCCUCGUGCUCUGGUGCAGGGCAGCUGUGGACAUGAGGAGACGUGCCACCCCACAGGCCGGGAGUCCUUCAGCAGCCAGCCGCCCUCUCCUCUGUUGCCUCUGCUACGUGUCCACAGCGUGGUUGCAGCAACAGACAGGGUGCUGCAGCUGCUUUGUUUGAAAUGAUAAUAUUUUCUGCUCUUACUGUGGAACGCUGCAGUAUUUUUUGUAAUUAUGGGCCGCGUGCCAGUAACGUACAAUAACAUUUUGCUCUUCCUGUCCUGUUGCUACUGUAGGCAUUCAUUCCAACUUGGGCCAUGUUUGCAGUACAUGGUAUUUUUUUUUCUGGACUCCGCUUAUUAUCUAUUGUGGAUAUUUUUGGAUUAUUCAUUGCUACGCACGUCUGUCCAUACAAAUCUAUCUCAGAAAGCACUUCAGAGAGUGACAGUCUCCAGCGAACAAGCAAUUGUUGUGGCUUUCACAGGAUUACGUUCUUGUGAAAGUAUGAGGCAAGAAUGAGAUGAAAACGAAGAUGAAAAUUGCUUUGUAAGUUUAAAAAUUGUUAUGGCUUUGAAAAUAUUUGAGGCAGAGACGAGGCCGGCCUUCCUUUGCGCGGUCGGUGCUAAGGACCUGGUGUGCACCAGAGCUGUAGGUGGCUGAAGCCUGUGGGCCGGCAGAAUCUGGGAGACAUUUACCAUUGUCGGAGCCUGUAAUGAUUCUCCGCAGCUUUGGUUUUAAGGAUUUUUUUCAUUUCCAGAGGAAAGUAGUCGUAACUUGGAAGACAGCUAGUGGCAUUCGUGCCAGCGAUUGUUUAUUAACGUUGUCAUGGUCUGGAGAUGAAAUUUUUGUGAAAGGGAAAUUAAAGUCCUAGACAUCAGAGUUCACAGCUAGCCAGCCUGCACGCAGCUUGUUUCUGGAAGGUAGAGGUCGAGUCCAAAAAGAGGAGAAGGAGGCUAAACACGAAGGAGACAAUUAAUUUGUUUCCGGUUAAUUUGGAACGAAAUAGUAUGCUUUAUACAAAAAGAACUGCGCUUUUCGUGUGUAGUUUUUGUGUCCUCGUACUGUGCUGACUCACCAAACUACUUCGGUUUCAGAGUCUGCAGUCUGCAUUUGGUUUAAAUUACCUUAGAGGCCUGCAUUUGCAUGCUGUUCUGUAAAGUGCUUCUCGCCUGCAGUCCAGAUUUCUUUUCUUUUUUCUUUUUUCCUUUUUCCUGUUCAGCAUUUCAUCUGACGUGCCUUUUUUCAUUUUCCAGGUCUCCGUUUUACUAACAUUUGCAACCAAUCACUGUGUGCCUGCUUGGGCCCCGUGAUAGGCAAAAAACAUGUUGCAGUAACAGAUAGAACGAGGAGUGAAUCACUUCUUUUUGCCUUUCAAUUAGAUUACCUAAAUCACUAUGCAGAAGUAUUCCUUUUUGUACGAUAGAGCAGCGUGAUUAGCUCACUGCCUUGACAAAGCGGUGGUGGAAGUGGAUGUAAUUCUUCUCCUAUUACAUCUUUAAUGAGCUACAAUUAAAAAUAGUGUGCUGGCAUGCCGGAGUAGAUGUGUUAUUCUCAGAACUUUAUUGAAGCCAUUUCUGCUGUUAUAUUUGGUUGGCACCGCGUUGUUCUAAAACCGUAAGAAUUAGAUAGCGGAAAAAUCUGCUUUUGCUAGGUGAAGGCUACUUGGGGUAAAAUAUAUCAACUAAAUAGGUACAGAGUCUGUGCUGAGUCCUUGGGGGCAAAGCUUUUGCUACGUGGUAAAAGAAAGUGAAAAAUAGAAUCACACAAUGCAGCAGGUUUCUGCAGAGCUCCAGUUGGGUCCCAGGUCUCUCGACACCUGUGGCAGCGAGUCUGAGUCACAGAGAGCACAAAACUGCGAAUCCUAAUACUCUCAGUACUCAAAAGCAUACCUACGUAGGAGUUUAAUUUCAUGCGCUUCUUUUAGCUCUGUGUUUUUUUUUUUCCCUCCCUCCAAACUAACAAAAUUUAAGAGUCAUUCUUAGAAUUUUGCAGAGAAAAUUUUCUCAGCGCUUGUGGCUCCGUGAAGGAUUGACAUCACUUAGAGCUUAAAAAAUAGCACUGUCAAUUUUAGCUUGACGGCAUUCCAUUCUCUGCUCCAAAAACCUGAUGAAUAACAAUGGAUGAGUCAAAGAUUUCUUGGAAUUUUUUUUCCCCCUUGUGCAAUUCCAUUGCCAUUUUUAGCACGGAGGGCAGUUCUCCAAAGAAUGUCUAUGUGCUUGAACUGUGAUUUCUUCAAAAUUCAGAACAAAAUCAAGUUGAGCGUCAGACGACAAGAAAACGUUUCUGUGUAUUUUGCUGACAUAGUGUGAGCUUUAUUGAGGAAUCCACAUGAAAAGGCAGGAGGUGUUUUACUGAUAGUUGUUUCAUCUCUGCUUCAGCAGUGUGAGUCUUGCCCUGUCACGCUGCUUCGUUGUGUUGUAAUGAGAUUCUGCUUAAUUAUUUACUGUAUCUUGUCAUAUCUUGUCAGCAGUGGUCAGGGCAGUGUCCUGAUAAAAACUAUCAGUGGAUUUGGGAGACUUCGGUUCAAUUUCUUUCUGUGUUGCAUGUUCCCUGUAUGAUCUCAGGUUGCUUGAAUUGUUGCUUCAAGGUCUCUUAAAGUGUGGGCUGCUCAGUUUUGCUGUGGCAAGCUGGUUUUCAAAUAGGUGAGUCCCCAUUACUCGCUUAGUUUAUCAGGAGUGGUCUUUCUGCCAGGAGGGAGAAGUCAGGAAGACUUGGAAGAAGAGGUAGACAAGAUGUUACUGUGCUUCUUGGUCCUUGCUUGGAUCAACUUAAGGCUGUUGUUGAACCACAGCAUCCUUCUGUCUUUGCCUUGGUUUGCCACAUGAUGAAUGAAGAUUGUAUCACUUUGGUAUUUUAGUAGGACGUUGAGAGUAGAAAUACAACAGAGAAUUGUGCAAAUACUACUGUUGUGUUAGUGAUGUAGUGUGUUUAAGGUAAGCAGAUCUUGGCAAAGUCGUUUGGAUUACUAUGAAUGAGAUCACCAACUCUGCCUAUUUGUUUUACAAAUGGCAGAAGUAGCCUCUAUCAGGCUUAAUCUUGCAUGUCAGAAUGAAUGGCCAAAGUAUAAAGACUCAUGAAGAAUUAAGCUGCUGAAAAGAAACCCAAGAGGAAGAUGGGUUAAAACGAUGGCAAGGCAGGAUCUGUAAUGUUUUUCUUCUACAAUAGAUAGCUUGUAUUUUACUAAAAAUUGGCCAAAAAGAGAAGGAAAAGUGCAGGGGUCCCCUUAACAGCUACCGUGUCGAAUUUGAAGAAUGAUUUGAAUUCAGUCAUUAAAGUGUGAAAUGGAGGGAUUUUAGUUCUGCUUGAAAUUGUGCAUCUCAAAUUAACCUUAGCUGCAGAAUCUCUGCUGACGCCCCCGUAAUGACACAUUAUUGGUACUAAUGGCUUCUUUGUGACUUGAGAUACAAACAGACAUUCUAGACAGAAACAUUUAGGCUUUGAACUAAAUAAGUCGCAAAGCGUGCAUUUCCACCUUGGUUUUCUAGCGACAAAGCCCAGCUCUCCUGGUGGCUGGUGCUCGUGAGCUGUUCUUUCCAGCUUGCAGACUCUGCUCCUUGUCCUGGCAGUUGUAGGCAGCGGAGUAAAAACCAGCUUUGCAAGCUUGGAAGAACAGGAGAGCCAUAAAUAUGAAGUGAGCGUGAAGCCCGGCCAGAAGUCGGGUGUUGCAGAGAAGCAGGACAAAGCCUGGAAUGCGGGCAUGGGACAGGAGGGGGAACUUGUAGCAGAUGAGUAUCUUCAGAGGAAAAAGGACCCAAAAUUGUGAGGGAAAUGGUCGAGAGAAGCCAGGAUUUACGGAGGAAAUUGCUAAAUAAGGGAGGGAUGAGAUUAAUAAAGAAUAUAACCCGCAGUGGCUGGUUAACCCCUUAUUGCCCUGUUGAUAUGCGAAGAGGUGAUCGUAUUUUUGGAGCUCUGCACUUCAGUCUCUCCUCUGAGGCUCGUUGGCAUAAUUUAGAAAACUCUGCCAAUGCCUGGAAUUUCACCCACAGGUGUUACCUAGACCCUGCCUUCGCAUCCAAAGGAUAAUCAUUAGUCGGUUGUUUUAUCUUCAUUUUCUCAAUGGGAUACCACGAUGUGAGAUAACUGUUGCCUUUCCUUUCAAGCUGCAGCUUUGGGAAUUUGCCUAAUUGCUGCGGCAGGGGCUGUGGAGAGGACCUCCUGCCCUUGGUUGUGUCCGUGGGAUCUGUUACAGGAGUGCCUGCCAUGGCUGCGUGACGCUGUGUGACUUGCCAUGGGGUCUGCGGUAUUCUGGAUCCAAGGCGGGAUUGCAUUUAAGUAUUAAGUAUGUAGAAUCAAAUACGGAUAAGUAUUCAGAUGUCUCUUUUGUAUUUCUCAAAGGAGGCAUGUUCCCAAGACUUUAAAAAAAAAAAAAAAAGGUAGGUAUGCUAUACAUCAUCAUAUUUACUAAUGCAUCAGGGGUAUUUGCAUGAAUAAUUAAGACACCAGUUAGGAUUGCCUCAGUAAUAAAAGGGAAUAUAUUCUGUAAUUUUUCUUGUCCUUUUCUUUUUGUUGACUGAUGGAUUGAUGGAUACCUUUUGUUGAUUGAUUAUCGAUUUCAUUCAUUUAUUUAGAACGUGCCCUAAAUAUUAAUGCAAAUCAGCAAGGUUCUGCUUUGCAUUAAAAACCUGUUGAAAGUGCUAAUAGAAUAACGUCAUAAUUCAGUAAUGAAGGUCUGAAAAACUGAGGCCCAGAACACUUAUCUAGUAUUUUGUAUUAAGUAGAUUUGCAAAAUACUUUGUUUGUCCUAAUUGCUAAUUCAAGUAAUAUUAAUUUGCUUUUUGUUACGAAUAGCCUAAUAGCACGUUGGAAAAACAAAAAAUAGAGGCAAUAAUCUACCUCAGAUUUUCCAUUCUAUUUGUAGUUUACCUUAAAUUAGUUGGAGACAGCAGGAAUAUGGUAGGCAAGUUAGAGGUAGAUACCACUUCUAAAACUGUGUGUGAAAAAACCCUAAAACUUCUGAAACUAAGAACUGAAAAGCACAAACAGAUGCAGUCCAAGUGACCUAAAGUUGGAAUUGUAGUAAAUUUCAGACGUGCACAUACACAAAAUCUUCUUCGUAUUUCUUAGCUCAAAUUUCUUCUGAUUUUUUUCUUCAAUUUUCCUUACUGUUUACAUUUAACUAAUUAACCUCUUUUCUCAUUUCUUUUCCCACCUUCACAAAUGCAUCAUUUAUGAAUAUGCUAUAAUGUAAAGAUGAACACUUGAAAAUGGGAUCAUAUUGUGGUGAUACUUUUUAGGGCCAUAGUUUUGUUUUCCAGCUAUGAGGAACAAUUUGUGAUGACACUUGAAUUAGUAUCGUACACUUCAGUGCUAUUCUUCUAGCCAUGCUUGAAAUGCUUAUUUUCUGCAUCGAGCUUAGUUUUAGAUGCAAUACUCUGAUGACUAGUAAUAAAUUAAUACAUAGGGUUGUGUUAUCUUCCUGGUGUUUAUGACACGUCACAUCUGAUGGUAUAUGCUAACCUCCUUCUCCAUCUCUGCUUUGCUUUGCAAUCUAACUUCGUCCUUUAACACUUUAUUAGCAUCACAAUAAUUGUAAUUGAUGAAGACAGGGAACAUAAAAUACAGUGGGUGCCUGAUGAUGCGUUUACUUUUUGUCCUUUAUUGUUUGGCUUGUAUAUGGUUUGGUUUCGGUGGUUUGUUAAUUUUAUUUAUUUAUUUAUUCUGUUUUUUUAAGCUGGGUGUUAUUUCAUCCCCAUUGAACAAUGGGAAUGGAGCAGUGCUGUCAACCAAGGCCUCAACGUAUUCGCAUAAUAACAAUAAAAGCUUCUUACGUAACUUUCGUCUAAUACUCUGCAAAUUGGAGCUCAUCCUUUCCAGUGUCGAGCAACUUUACCCACGCGUGUGCUGAUCCCAAACAGUGUUUUGUUUGCAGCAGAAGUCAGCCCCGUACACUGCUGGUGCUGCUGGAAGCCUCAGUAAUGAGGCAGAAUUGUGCCUUUGGAGGCUCCUUCCUCAGCCUGUCAGAUGCAGGUGCUGCUGAAACUUUGCUGUUAAGAAAGAGUUAGUUUGGCUGUGGACGUUGCCUCUCGCCAGUCUUAGUUUUAGCUCUGGUUCUAGGGAACAGUCACCUCUCUGGGCUUACUUCACAGUGCCCUGCUCUGGUGCCAUCGUGCAAGGUGAGCUAUAGCAAUUGUCUGCUUCACGCAGGGAUAUAAAAUAGUUGUCUCAAUACGAAAAGUGCUCUGUGAAAUUGUUCCACUUACUGUUGCUACGUGUAGCACCUACAAUGACUAUAAAUGAAGGGUAAUAAAGGGAAAAGAUCAUAUUAUUUCAGUUAGCUUACUUUGUGCGUGCUUGACGGCACUGUGUAUAGUAAGUUACAUAAUUUCCUGGGAUAGUCAGAUUUCUCCUUAUUUGUGUGGCUCUUUCUCUCGGCAAUAAGGGAAAGAAAAUACAUUAAGGAUCAGAAAAUGUGUCUGUAAAGCCAGGAAAAAUUGUCAGCAACAUCAAGAAGAGUUCUAAGUAUUUGGAACUGCUCUUGACUGAUCCUCCAAAAGCAACUCAAUUCCGGAAUAAUAGUGCCCUUCUGGGCUUCAUUUUAAGACAGUGCGAUCGUACUUAGGCAGGAUUUGCAAGGAUCAAUAACCAGCCCAAUGCGUUCUUCCUUUUCAUGACAGGUUCACUGAUGGCCAUCAGAGCAGGAGUACUGCAUCGGUCAGCAUAAAUGCAAGAAGCAGCAAUUAGCGUGUGUGAAGUUUGUCUCCAUCAUAGCAUGCAUUGUAGCACGCAGGACUUUCACUACAUGAAUGCGAGGAGCCAUGCUGUGCUGAGGCUGAAUGUGGGGUUUCUGUUCCUGGAGGGAAGGCCCGGUGGUGUCAGUGACCAGUGUGUACUGUUGUUUUUAUCAUCUGCCUUCCUCGGUUAACUUGGCUCUGUGACUUUUUAACCUGCUGUCCGUAAGCUGUUGUUUUACAAGCUCAUUAAGGUGGCUGGGAUGGUGAAAGCAGCCAUCCUGCCCCCACCUCCGCCCCUACCCCCCUUGGGUGCUCGUUAGAUCGUUUCCUUGUGCUGACAUAAGCGUUCUGUAGUCAUACUCUGAGCCAGGCCUGGGAAAUGAUCCAAGUUAAAAAUAAUCCCUCAAAAAAAAAUGGAAAAUAAGAUUUCAGCAGGACCUGUUACUGGACACAGCACACCGGCGUGCGGUGUCAGCUUGAGAAAACAGGUCUAUCCUCAGCGUGCUGCCUGUCUUCCUCGAUUUCAUCGGCCUGACUGUCUUGUUGGUAUUUUCUGAAGCUGUGAUUCAUUUUCAGACAAGUUUACCCCAAAAAUGGCAUUUUCAGAGGUGCGGAGGUCCCUUGAGCUUAGUGAUGGAGUAGACCCCAGCUGACUCUGCUCAGCAGAGGCCCAGGGGAUGUCCUCUUCAGGCUUCCUCUUGAGGACCGGUCUCGAUGUCCCAUACCCCCAGAUGGGGGAAUCAACUGUUGUACUGCUGGCACGAGAAGAGGGCAGUGCUCCAUGGGGAAUACUGUUCAUUUCUGGAGGUGGGGGCACCUCCCAGGCUCUGGCUGUCCCGGGAGGACAGGGCGAUGCAAUUGCGAGUUAGAGAUUUUGAGUUUUCUUCUUGUUACUUAAUGCCCUCUGGGGAAUCAAGGGAAGCCAGGUACAUUUGGAGAUGAGACUCCCUAUUUGUUUGGGUGGCCUAGCUGUGAAACUCUGCAGCCAAGGAGGUCUUUGUAGCCCCAGGUUGGCAUGGCCUCCCUCAGAUGUCAGGUGGCACCUUUGUGCCCACAUGGCUGCUGCCUCCUGCCCUGUGCAGCCACGUUCCUCUUGUGCUGCCUAGGAUCACCUGUGUGGCCCUCCUCAUGGCACGGGGAGCCUGCUGUGCUCUUCUCUGCGGAGGAACGAGUAAGAAGACACACGUUGUGGUUUCCUGCUGUUCUGCUUUGUCACCAGCCCACCGGUAAAUAUAGCUUGCGUGUGGUUAUAAAUUCAUUUCUCUCGUUAUGGGCGGUUGUUGUGCAAUAAUUGUGUAGAAAUUACAACUGAGGGUAGUUGUGGAUGGUUCUUGUUAUUUUUGCGUUUGUUUUAUUUGUUUGUUUGUUUGUGUAUUUAGUGCCCUUUGGUGGUUGAGUAGGCACUGGUGUCUCUCUAACUAAGAGUAGAGCCACAAGUAGAUGUCCAUUGGGAUCCUGUGCGGGCAGAGGCACCAGCUCACAGGCUGCUGGCUUCACAUGGCUCCCCUUGCAAGGCUGCUAGGAGCUGCAAGGCAAAGCAGGCCUGCCUUACGCAGACACUUUCUUCUUCCUUCUACAAUGCAAGCAUAUGUUCCUUGCCACCCUUGCAAGUUCUAUAUGGGGUCCCUUGCUCAGACUGUUUGGGUAUGGAAUGAAAGUAGGGGUGGGUUGUUUUUUUUCUCUUCUCCUUUCCCUUUAUUUAAAAUUCCAGUAAAAUAGAUGCAGAGCAACACUGUUUGUUGCUGCUGUGUUCUCAUUUUCCUCCCAUCCCUCCUUUAAUUUUAAAUUUUCCCCUGCACUGUGUUUGCAGGCCAUAUGUGUCCUUUGAACUAUGAGGAAGCUGUGCCAAAAGGAAGCCUUCCUCUCCUCCCCUCCUCCCAUCACAGAGCUGCUCUUAGAUAAUAGCAGUUAAUAUACAAUGUGGAGCAAACCCAGGUGUGAAGUUGGAGUGUUGUGCAAAUUUCACAAGAACUUUAGGAAAGCUUGCACUUGGUCCUUGCUUUUUAAACCUGCUGAAAUCCUUGAAGCACCAGGCAGCUGCUGCUGCUCGGAGAGGUGUUUACAACGUGAACUGGCCUACCGCGCCCUUUGCAAGGCGCAGGGACGGCUGGAUCGGCUGGCAGGAAGCCACAGCUCCAUCUGACCACUGAAUGCAGGAAGGUGGAGCUGCCUUUCAUUGUGUCACGGCGCUGGGCAGAGGUCUGACAGGAGAACAAGCAGCUUUACUAGCACACUGCAGUGCCAGAGCCCUUCAGUUAUGUUCACUGCAUGCUGCAGGCUGACGAGAGUGGGAAAGGUAACCUUGUGGUGCUAAACAAAAGGCAGGGCAGUACCUGGCUUCAUUGGCAAGUUGAGAGAAGAGGGGAGCCUUGCUGGGCCAGCAUGCAGCUGGAUAUUGGCAGUGCCAGUAGGAGAGAACGGCCCGUAAAUGGGAUUCACUGCUGUGAUGGUCUUGAGUUUUCAAAGGGAACGUACUCCUUGGAGCAGCGUGUCAGGAAGCAGAUGCCUUUUGGGUCCUGCAGAUAAGUGUCCUGUCCAUUAAAACAGGUUUCUAACCUCAAUUCCCAAUGGAGUUUUAAAUGGGGAGAAAUAGGAGUAUUAAUUAGUGCCUCAUUAAAUAUGAUAGUCAAGUAUGAUAAUUUUUCUUGGAAGGAUAAUGUAUUAAAUGAGUAAAAAUACUCUCCAUUAAAAAAUGAAUACAAAGUCAUUUUAAACCACAAAGAUUAUUGUACAUCUCUGAAAAAUUAAUGUGAUUAAAGCAAAAUAUAUUUAAUAAAUUAAAAAGACCCUCUUAGGCUGUUUAACUUGUUGGUCUCUAAUUAAUUAUUCUCAAAUAUAGCGCUUCAGGAUGCAGGGACAGGAAAUGAUUUCUCCCCCCAGUCCAUUUUUCAGUUUGCAAUUAUCCAUUCGAGGUUCGGGUUGUGGGGUUUUUUUUUUGUUCUUUUAAAUCUUUUCUGUUGUCGUAUCUCAAAGAUGAGACACGAGACAAGGAAGAGCAGUGAUCACAAAUAAUACAGUGAUUUCUUUGAUGGUUUUGCUUGAUGUGACUGACUUUUGUGCCAAUAUCAAGAUCUGGACCUGAGAAGGAAUAUUUUCAAAGGCUAUUUUUCUCUUUUCCCUUUUGCCUGGGACAUGAUGUAGGACGCAUCUGCUAGGAUCACACAGCUUCUUUUAGUGACUUCAUAAGUUAAAUAAUUUUUUUCCACUGUUUGCCUCUGAGAUUAGAUUUGAAUUAGAUACUUCCUUAACUCUCACCUAAACUCAUUCACAUUCAGCUGCUCAAUUAGAAUUAUUCUGUUUGUUGUGGCAAGCAGUAAAGAAAAAAUGAUAGGAGCUAGAGGGAGUGCCCAUGCAGUUCAUGUAUGUAUUUUGGGAGGACAUAAGCAGUAGAAAAUAAGGGCAAAAGCUUGAUGUGAAAUAGAGCAGGUAGUGGCUUUACAGCAGCCUAGUUAAAAAACUUCUGCUUGUCAUUAGUAAUGAAGGUACUUCCUCAACAGUCCCAACAGAAACAGUGCGUGGUAAUGCUGUCUUAUUGACUGCAGGUGUAUGAUGCUUGAGUUCCUCCAAACAUUUCUUCCUUGCAGGUGGUCGUCAGUACAGAUUUGGAGAGCCCUAGCCAUUGGUUCUCAAGGUUUACCAUUUGAUUAUCGUGUAAAUACCAAAGAUACCCACAUAAGCUUUUGAAAAAUCUGUUGAAAAUUGUCCAACAGGCUGAAGAAUCUUUCCAGGGAGUCCGGGUACUAUGCUGUGCUGUCUCAAGGUGCCUUCUAAUCUCUCUGGCUCUUUGAUCCUGAUGACUGCCACCUUUGUAUUGGUGUUUAAGAGGAGAGUCUUCCCACCUUUCAGCUUUACUCUUCUGUCCUGUGUGGCUUGGCCAAGCAUAGACAACUGAGGUGGCAGCUGUUGCCUUCUAGUCACAGGAACCUUGAUUUACGUUGUAUCUCCAAGUGCUAUCUCAACAGAGCUGUUACAGGAACAUCAGCUACCUUACUGGGGCAGCUGUGUGUGAGAAGAUUUCCCUCAUCUAUGGGACACAUGCAGAGCCUGCAAUGGCUGGGCAGCUGUGUAUUGAAGCUUUUGAGGCAUUUUUCCUUUUGUUUGAGAAGGUGGUGGUAGGCAGGAGUUUUUGGUGCUAUGUGAAAAUAGCUACCCUAGAUACCUCCAGAGUUCAAGGAACCUGUCGUCGGUGUCGAGCUGUGCUCUCAUACAUUUAUGUGAGCUCUGUUGUUAUUACACAAAGUACUUCCCAAGACGAAUGAUCUGUGCUGCUGUAAUGUUCCAAUGCAUGAUUAAUAGUCUUUUCUGGUCUUAAAUGAGACCAAAUGUAUCCGUUGACUUACCUUGAAAAUCCUCUUAGUGCCAAUGAUCUCAUUUUCAAAACCACCUCUAAGGUUACAACUCUAAUGCAAGCACCUACACCACAGCUGCUGUAAUGACACCCCCAGAGGUAGCCAUGUACGUGUGCAUGAGCAAAAAGGAAUUUGCACAUCUCUCAGUAUGCCAGUGAGCUUCCCUUACUGGUUGUGCCUGCUUCGCCAAUGCUAGCAGAUAACGCAAUCAGGUGCGUGUAUAUAUACAUAUACAUGGUUGGUUUUUUUUCUGAAAGUGGGACAUUGCAGCUCUAAAUUCAUAAAAUUGCAAGGGCAUAACAAAGAGUAGGUCUGUCCAGCAGCACUGUUAACUUUUUCUUAUUAUACCCCUGGAAUUCUGUCUGACAUGGUCCCUCACUACAAAUACUUUAUUUGCAAGGAGCUCUGGUUAAGCUAGCAAUUUACUGUGGCAAUGUGUGAGACUAAGCGUACCGGAAAAUAAAGAAUAGUGCAGCAUUUAUGAUGAUAAAAUAAUUUCAGGUCAUGUCUUUUCUUUCUUUGUGUAGCUUUUCUUUUAUUACUGGCACUGAAACAGCUCUUGCAGUGCAAGUGAGAAAACCAGACUGAACCUCCUGUUUUUUUGUUGGGCUCCCAGCUGGAAACCCCUCCCUCGAUUUUCCAUUGAUAAAGUGUCACAAAGGGAAUCCAGAGCAGAGGAAUAGGAGGAAGUAGAACAAUGCGAAGUCUUGGACUUGAAUCACAAAAUGAGUUAACUAAUGUAGAUGCGGCGUUGAACGAGCUGCUGCUUCUUUCAUGAUCAGGUUCAUUUAACUGUGGUCUUAGCGUUUGGGGCUGCCUCUAAGUCAUGUAACAAAUCGACUAUUUAUUGUCUUUUCUUUUACUGCAGAGGCUCUUUAAAAGGAAAUUGCAGAACAUUUUCUUCUCUCCCUUUCUAUAGACUGUUUUAUCUGACCUUCAAGAAUUCAGAGUCACAACGGGGGCCAAGAAACCUCACGUACAAGAAUGCUUUUAUUGUUAAUGUCUAAAAUAUGUCUUUCACUAAUAAAAUAAAGGUGUGACAUUUAUAGAGCUCUAAUAAUGAACACAGCAGUAGGAAGGGCCCCGGCUGCAUACUGUUCAAAUUAAGUUGAUUUCAAUGAGACGAGAAACAGCCUUGUUCGAUUGCAGGUGAGGGCAUUUGCUGAUUUCCAUGAGGCUUGAAAAACUCCCAGGAAUAUUUUGCAGGUAUUGAGAAGUAACUUUUUAGAGCACUUGUUUCAGUUAAGUUGCUACUUAGUACUCUGGUGGCAUUUGGAGGAGGAGGUCUACUUGUGUUUAAUUCCAAUUGCAUGUCAAGUGUAUGCUGUUUCUGUGACUCUCUUGUCCUUGCAUCACUAGAACAGUAGCUGUACUACCACUGCUGUUUGACCACCGUGUUGAGGUGAAAGAGAUGGCUGAUGUUUGCCACAGUGUCUGCAUGAGUCAAAGGCUGGUGUUUGCACUAUCACCUGCCCACUGUGUGAUGCAGGUGUGCUUCUGCACGUGGUGGUGGUGAGGAGGGGGCACUGGUGUCUCUCUCCUACAUCCCUGUGAAGCGCUGUGGUUGUCCUCUUGGGGUGUCUUCCCACAUGAAAGAGUUAAGUGCUGCUCUUCUCUUUUCCUCCUGUUCUCUUUGCUAUCCUUUCUUUUUCUUCCCUUUGCUCUUGAGCUUGCCAAGGUGGCACAGAACCGGAUGUUGAAGUCCACUCUCUUGUUCUGACAUUACAGUGUUGUUGUGGUAACGAGACUACGCACAAUUAUUUGAAAUGUGAAAUGAUAAUAUAGCAAGAAUCUGUUAGGCAAAGAACAAAUAAGUGUGAUAUGGCUGGCCUGUCAGCAUGUCAUUGUGAGGGGAUAAGGAAAAUAUGCAAAAUAAUAAAUAUUCGAGAAGGAAGACUGUAAGGAGUGUUUAGAUUUCUGAUCUCUGUAUCUGAUCCUAUAAAUCAGAGCUGUUGUAUUUUUUUACUGGUUAUCUCAUUAAAUUUUUAUUGGGCCAUCCUUCCUUCAAGAAAAAAAAAAAAAAAAAGGAAAUGCAAGAGGCAAAAAUAAUUUGAGUUGAAAAAGCUCAACAUCUACUAAGAAUCAUAGCGUGCUCUGUAAAUAAUGCUUUCAAGUCAAACGGACCGAGUCCUAGACAGGCUAGCUGGUGGCAUGAAAUGAUAGAAUUUGUCCAGCACUUUGACUCUGCAGGGUUUUUUUCUUCUUCUCAGUACAGGGAAAUAAGAGAUAGUCAGGAACUUAGUUUCUUGGGUUUCUUAUUGCCACUGCUUGGCCCAACGUGUUAUUUCCAUGCAGAGAAAUGGACUUGCCAUGCCUUGCCUGUUGUGAUGAAAAUACAUGUUGCCUCUCACGUGUCCUUACCCGAGGUAUAAACUGGUAGUAUGAGUAAAUAGGGCAACACAGGCCAUUCAUUUCGAUGGCUGUUCUGUAUAAUGUAUAGUAACUGCAGGCAAAUAACAUAUACAGCAAAGGGAAGUGAUGAAAGCCAAUUCUUACUAGAUUGAAUGAGAUACCGCUUGAUGAAUGAUUAAAAAUAAAACUACUAUGUAUUAUCCUUGAAACACUCAGAUAUGGGAAAAGCGUGUUAUCUGCAAAAGUGGGCAGAGCAUCCAGUGAAUCAGUGUUUUGAACUUAUGCAGGGCUUCCAGACAAUGAAGGGAAGGAAAACAGUAUUGCUUUUUAAUGCUCUUGCUGUUAAAAAUAAUGUAACAGAUAAAGGAGGUAGCACUCUGAGGGUGUUUUUUUGUGCUACAUAAAACGAUUAGACAUUUAUCAGAAAUUCUGGCAAUUGGGUUGAGCUGUGAUGCUGUGGACAAUCGUAACACUAAUAGGGUGGGAGCAGUAUAAGCAAUAGCUACAAUUAUAGCUGCAGUUACUAAGAGAAAUCCAUGCUCUGUUAUGUUAGUGCAGCAUUAACCCCAUGCAACGCUAUAGGCUUGGGGUAGAGUGGCUGGAUUGACUGUGAAGAGGAAAGGGACCUGGGGGUGUUGGUUGAUACUUGGCUGAAGAUGAGCCGACACUGUGUCCAGGUGGCCAAGAAGGCCAGUGCCAUCCUGGCCUGUAUUAGAAAUAGUGUCACCAGCAGGAGCAGGGAGGUAAUCAUCCCCCUGUACUCAGCACUGGUGAGGCCGCACCUUGAGUAUUGUGUUCGGUUUUGGGCCCCUCACUACAAGAAAGACAUUGAGGCCCUGGAACUUGUCCAGAGAAGGGCAACAAAGCUGGUGAGGGGUCUGGAGCGCAAGUCUUAAGAGGAGUGGCUGAAGAAGCUGGGUUUGUUCAGUCAGGAGAAGAGGAGGCUCAGGAGAGACCUCAUUGCACUCUACAACUUCCUGAAGGGAGGUUGUGAUGAGGAUGGGUUUGUCCUCUUCUCCCAGGCAACAAACAGGACCCGAGGAAAUGGCCACGAGUUGUACCAGAGAAGUUUUAGAUUAGACAUAAGGAAGGACUUUUUCUCUUGGAGAGUGAUCAGGAGCUGGAAUGGCCUGCCCAGGGAGGUGGUGGAGUCGCCGUCCCUGGCAGUGUUCAAGAGGCACCUGGAUGAGGAGCUAUGAGAUAUGGUUUAGCAGCUUGUGGUUGCAAUGGUAAUGGGAGGACGGUUGGACUACAUGAUCUUGUAGGUCCUUUCCAACCUUGUGAUUCUAUGAUUCUAUGAUUAUCCAUCUACAUGAAAGGCAGCAAUAUCUUAAAGAGGCAGAGGAGGAAGGCUGUCCUCUCUUCCUAUUUUGGUGUCCACCUGUUGUUUUGCUUUGUUGUUGCUGUCUUUUUGAGAAAGUUGGUGUGUGUGUGUGAUUCUUCUGAGAGGUCAAAUCCAGUCUUUCACAAAACAGAUGAUUGUUACGUGUCUAACAGGAGUUUCAGAAAGAGAGCAAGUAUGCACCGAGAUACAUACAUUAAAAAAUACUGCUUGUGUGAAAGCAAAUUGGAAGUGCUGAAUUUAUAUUCUUUGUAUCUUACUAAAAUUUAUGGGUCAUACAUAAAUCAUUCAAAGAGUACCUUUCCCCGCAUUUAUCAUCAGGUUGUUUUGUGUCACAAGCCAUUAUUUGCUUCUUUUCAGUGACAUUUUUUGUUUGUUUGUUUUUGGCAGUUGUCUUUUAUUCAUUAAGGAGUUUAUAACAUACAGACAGAACCCUCUAAAAGUACUGGCAUUUAAGCUCUUUUUAAGGAAUGUGUUUACACUUUGGAUAGAGAUCAACUGAAGCCUGCUUUAGUCAAAUUGGGUAUGAAGUAAUGGAAGGCUUGACUUUUCCUUCACUUCAUGGAUUCUGGCUGUUCAGCAUGUAGGAUGGGCACCUCAGUCAUUGCAGUUUCCAAAUGUAAAAAGGGGGUGCACUCAGGAACACCAGGACAUAAAAAGCUAUUACUAAGACUGUAUUUGCAUCCUGUAUCUUAUAAAUGAAGGAGGCUGAUGUGAAUUGACAUACUCCCAUCAUGUAAUUUUAGGCCAAUAGAGAUAGAAUCUGUCCUCAUGCCCCAUAUUUUUUAAGAAAGUGAUGGAAGUUGUCUCUGUAUGUGUGUUUCUUUCCUCCAAUACUAUGUAGCACAAAGUGUUCCCUACUGAUCCUUCUAUUUUCCUGUAGGGUAAUGAAACAGACUUUAUCAGAGUCUGACCCUCUUUCCCUUCUUAGAAACCUUCUUUGUUACUACUUAGUAUUUUCUAAUAACUUCUUUUCAGCACAAAAAUAGUCUUCCCAUUCCUAUGCUUCCAGUUAGAGCAACAGGAUAGGAUGUCUUUACUUCUCUCCUUUCUUGCCCCUCCCUUUGGAUUCAUAACUCUGGAGUUGUUUGAGCUCUAGCUCAAGUUGUGACUUCAUUAACAUGAUGCAAAGGGCUCAGCAAAAUCAUACAGCUCUUUGAGGAGAAAAGUGUUACAUUUCCAUAGUGCAUAGUGUAGGAGAAGGUUAGUGCAUGUUGUGCUAGGGCUUGCUGCAUUUCUCCAUGUGACUAGCUAGAUGGUUUGCAAAUCCUGCUGUGCGACUGCAUGGUCUAUUUCUCCCUGUACUUCCAGUGGGUAACGUUGCACCAAAUUGGAUAAGCCAUUCCCAUUCAAAAUGUCCUAUUUGUUUUGCUUAAUUUCCAGCGAGGAUAUAAUGUGAUAGUAAAAUUGUUCUAUAAAGGGUCAUACACUGUUUUACUCUCAGUUUGUGAGGCUCAGACAGAAGGAAAUGAUCAAAAACACUCGAUGCUCAUUAUUUAUUAAUUGAGUUCUGGCAGAGCUUUUCUACAUUCUGGCUUUUUGUUCGUUUGUUUCUUUGUUUACAAACAAAAAAAGAAAAGCACAGUUCACAAAAACUGAAAAGGGAAAUUUGUUAACGAAGAUUUCUGACAAUUAAGAAGCAGCAUUUUGUGGGGUUUAAGUGAAAGUGCCUUGCAGCACAGGGAGGACAGUUUGGCACAGCAGUGUCGCUCUCUCUGUGUUGAUCUUGAAAGGGAAGAAUAUUUCAGAGAACAGCAGACCAUGAAUCUUAGAUACAGUCAUGCUGUGUUACCAGAAAAUAUUUGCACCAGUAAGUUCUGCGUUGGAAAUGUUUUUAACUGCUC
Molecule: long non-coding RNA, 21694 nt
Filed under: Gallus gallus (chicken)
Lineage: Eukaryota; Metazoa; Chordata; Aves; Galliformes; Phasianidae
Source: RNAcentral